RNAcentral lists this long non-coding RNA (320 nucleotides) under Panax ginseng (ginseng). RNAcentral's name for it is "long non-coding RNA (PGIN_LNC007468)". The record is from RNAcentral. Lineage: Eukaryota; Viridiplantae; Streptophyta; Magnoliopsida; Apiales; Araliaceae.
UUGUAUUUGUAUUAUGUACCAUGUAUUUGGCGACUCAGAAUAGGUGAUGUAUACCUAUUUUGGGGGAGUCACAAUACCGGUGUCGAGUCUUUGUUGCGAGAUUGAACUGACUUACACGGCUGCUAUUGUAGACUGAACUUUGUUGUAAGCUGCAGAUUCCCCUCAUCUGUUAAAGCAUCUAAUUCAGGUAGAUAUGAAGCAACUCCAGCCAAAGGUUCACUAACAUCUGGAAAGGAAAGUUGCUCACUAACAUCUGGAAAGGAAAGCUAUUGCGGAUUGUAUUAUCACCGAAAUCAGAUUUGGAUUGGCAAAUCGGCAAG